CGAUUAGAUCACUUUGAAACACCGGAUCCAGCACGAUCGCCAAAGUUAAGCAACAUCGAGCACCAUCAGUACCUAGAUGGGUGACCGCUUGGGAAUACCA
This is a non-coding RNA of Acanthosepion pharaonis, 100 nucleotides long. Lineage: Eukaryota; Metazoa; Mollusca; Cephalopoda; Sepiida; Sepiidae. The record is from the annotation of a GenBank genome assembly.